CCAGCCAUUCCGCGUGAGUGAAGAAGGCCUUCGGGUUGUAAAGCUCUUUCGCAAGGGAAGAAAACUUAUGAUCGAAUAAAUCAUGAGGUUGACGGUACCUUGAUAAGAAGCACCGGCUUAACUACGUGCCAGCAGCCGCGGUAAUACGUAGGGUGCGAGCGUUAAUCGGAAUUACUGGGCGUAAAGCGUGCGCAGGCGGUUUUGUAAGUCGGAUGUGAAAUCCCCGGGCUCAACCUGGGAACUGCGUUCGAAACUGCAAGGCUAGAGUGUGUCAGAGGGGGGUAGAAUUCCACGUGUAGCAGUGAAAUGCGUAGAGAUGUGGAGGAAUACCAAUGGCGAAGGCAGCCCCCUGGGAUAACACUGACGCUCAUGCACGAAAGCGUGGGGAGCAAACAGGAUUAGAUACCCUGGUAGUCCACGCCCUAANCGAUGUCAACUAGUUGUUGGUAGAGUAAAAUCUAUGAGUAAC
This 469-nucleotide ribosomal RNA is filed under the name beta proteobacterium Z23. RNAcentral describes it as "bacterial SSU rRNA". It matches the Rfam family "Bacterial small subunit ribosomal RNA", at positions 388 to 847 of the family's 1533-position model. Lineage: Bacteria; Pseudomonadati; Pseudomonadota; Betaproteobacteria. The record is from RNAcentral.